RNAcentral lists this ribosomal RNA (253 nucleotides) under uncultured bacterium. Its description in RNAcentral is "partial 16S ribosomal RNA". It matches the Rfam family "Bacterial small subunit ribosomal RNA", at positions 524 to 776 of the family's 1533-position model. The record is from RNAcentral.
UACGAGGGGGGCGAGCGUUGUUCGGAAUUAUUGGGCGUAAAGGGUGCGUAGGCGGCCUGACAAGUCUGAUGUGAAAUCCCUGGGCUCAACCCAGGGCCUGCAUCGGAAACUGUCGGGCUUGAGUAUGGGAGAGGUGAGUGGAAUUUCCGGUGGAGCGGUGAAAUGCGCAGAGAUCGGAAAGAACACCAACGGCGAAAGCACUCUGCUGGGCCGACACUGACACUGAGAGACGAAAGCUAGGGGAGCGAAUGGG